Molecule: ribosomal RNA, 286 nt
Filed under: Oxyrrhis marina
Lineage: Eukaryota; Dinophyceae; Oxyrrhinales; Oxyrrhinaceae
Description: partial Eukaryotic large subunit ribosomal RNA
Rfam family: Eukaryotic large subunit ribosomal RNA
Source: RNAcentral
UUCCCCCAGUAACGGCGAGUGAAGAGGGAAGAGCUCAGAUUGAAAAUCUCCGUUCGGCUUCCGAGCGUGAGAAUUGUGGUCUGUAGACAGUGUUACCAGCAGCGGCCUCGGGAGAAUUCGCCUGGGACGGCGGAUCAUAGAGGGUGACAAUCCCGUCUGUGCCUGAGAGCCCGCUGUGACCGGUGCCUGUUCAAAGAGUCGAGUUGCUUGGGAGUGCAGCUCUAAGUGGGUGGUAAGUUCCAUCUAAAGCUAAAUACUGGCAAGAGACCGAUAGCGAACAAGUACU